RNAcentral lists this long non-coding RNA (356 nucleotides) under Citrus sinensis (sweet orange). RNAcentral's name for it is "long non-coding RNA (CSIN_LNC001820)". The record is from RNAcentral. Lineage: Eukaryota; Viridiplantae; Streptophyta; Magnoliopsida; Sapindales; Rutaceae.
UCUAUUAUCACUUAAGGAUACAGUAGAACAGGAACAAAUAUCGUUGGCCUCUUUGCAACUUCGCGACUUCCAGCUGCAUGGAAAACCAUGCACUUCUAUCAGUCACAAAAAAAUGAACACUUGAGGCAACAUUAAUCACCAAACAAAAAUUAUAAAGACAUACCACUACAGAAACAGGAAUGAAGUUGCAGAGACCAACUCAGCCUAGGGAAGUCUUUCAACAAUUCUGUGCAGCAAUAGUUUGUCACCUGAGAUAACCCAUCUGAUCUACUAGGUCUUGCAAUUCCUCACCCCAAUCUGUAGGUGUUGCAACCAAAUCCUCCAAUUCCACCUCAGCCUCUGACUGAUCCUUCACC